AAGCAGAGGGAUUUUGAAAAUUAGUUUAUAUAAGAGCUGACUCACUGGCAAAGACCCUGAUGCUGGCAGACUGAGGGCAGGAGGAGAAAGGGAUGACAGAGGAUGAGAUGGUUGGAUGGUAUCACUGAUUCAAUGGACAUGAGCUUGAGCAAACUCUGGGAGAUAGUGAACAGGGAAGCCUGGCGUGUGGCAGUCCACAGGGUCACGAAGAAUUGGACACAACUAAGCAUGCUCUGACUUCCUUCAGGACUUCUCAUUUCCUGGAUUUCAUGGAACUUUGUAAAGUCCUUCUCUCUCCAGAAGUUGCUGAUCAGACAAUCAGAGUUGUGAUGAUUCUACUGAUAAUUCUCAGCCCACCAGGCUCCUCUGUCCAUGGGAUUCUCAAGGCAAGAAUACUGGAGUGGAUUGCUGUGCCUUCCUCCAGGAGAUCUUCCUGACCCAUCCAUCGAAACUUCAUCCCUUAAUGUCUCCUGAAUUGGCAGUGACUAACAUCCUGGGCAGAGGAAAACAGAUGCAAUGAACUCUCAGUAGGAUCAGUUUCUUCAUGCCAACACAAGAGGUAAAAUACACUCAGCUUUUAUUAACUGUUGUUUCAUUGCUAAGUCAAGUCUAACUCUUUUGUGACCCCCUGGACUGGAUGUAGCCCACCAGGCUCCUCUGUCCAUGGGACUAUCCAGGUAAGAAUACUGGAGUGGGUAGCCCUGUCCUCCUCCAGGGGAUCUUUCCGACCCAGGGAUAGAACCCUUGUCUCCUGCUUGGCAGGUAGAUUCUUUACCACUGAGGCACCUGGGAGGCCCCAGAUUUUAUGAGUAAAUAACAUCAAAGUGAAGGGAAAGUUGCUCAGUCAUGUCUGACUCUUUGCAACCCCACGGUCUAUACAGUCCAUGGAAUUCUCCAGGCCAGAACACUGGAGUGGGUACGUUUUCCCUUCUCCAGGGGAUCUUCCCAACCCAGGGAUCGAACCCAGGUCUCCUGCAUUGCAGGCGGAUUCUUUACCAGCUGAACCACAAGGGAAGCCCAAAAAUACUGGAGUGGGUACCCUAUCCCUUCUUCAGGAGAUCUUCCUGACCCAGGAAUCGAGCCAGGGUCUCCUGCAUUGCAGGUGGAUUCUUUACCAACUGAGUUA
Long non-coding RNA from Dama dama (fallow deer), 1126 nucleotides. RefSeq lists it as uncharacterized. The transcript has 3 exons. NCBI's taxonomy places the organism in Eukaryota, Metazoa, Chordata, Mammalia, Artiodactyla, Cervidae. The record is from RefSeq and is a predicted model, not a curated record.